RNAcentral lists this long non-coding RNA (435 nucleotides) under Homo sapiens (human). RNAcentral describes it as "non-protein coding lnc-PNMA6E-1:1". The record is from RNAcentral. Lineage: Eukaryota; Metazoa; Chordata; Mammalia; Primates; Hominidae.
UGCUUAGGACCUAAACUGCCCCUUCCUCGAGGGUCUGUAUAUCACAGAGCCAAAGACAAUUCAGGAACUGCUGUGCAGCCCCUCAGAGUACCGCUUGGAGAUCCUAGAGUGGAUGUGUACCCGGGUCUGGCCCUCACUGCAGGACAGGUUCAGCUCACUGAAAGGGGUCCCAACAGAGGUGAAGAUCCAAGAAAUGACGAAGCUGGGCCACGAGCUGAUGCUGUGUGCGCCAGAUGACCAGGAGCUCCUCAAGGGCUGUGCCUGCGCCCAGAAGCAGCUACACUUCAUGGACCAGUUGCUCGAUACCAUCCGGAGCCUGACCAUUGGGUGCUCCAGUUGCUCGAGCCUGAUGGAGCACUUCGAGGACACCAGGGAGAGUGCUGCCAAGUUGCACGCGCUUAGAACGGAGUACUUUGCACAGCAUGAGCAAGGGGC